This is an RNA transcript of Acinonyx jubatus (cheetah), 4164 nucleotides long. It is a transcript of the gene named interleukin 26, with no coding region annotated. The record is from RefSeq and is a predicted model, not a curated record. NCBI's taxonomy places the organism in Eukaryota, Metazoa, Chordata, Mammalia, Carnivora, Felidae. The transcript has 2 exons.
GAAAAACUGCAGAUUCCAAGAACAGCUUCUGUCCUUCUUCAUGGACGAUGUUUUUGGUCAACUCCAAUUACAAGUCUGCAAGGAAAGACACUUUGUGGAAGAAUUUCAUAGCCUUAGGCAGCAAUUGAGCCGCUGUGUUCUGUCCUGGGUGAGAAAGACCAGUCUGAUCAAGUCCCCGGUCUCUGGUGCUUGUAUUCUUCUUACCGGCAGAGAGAUGUAAACAAAGAAGGCCAGUGAAUCAUGAAAUGUGACAUGUGUGAUGCUGAGUUUUCUGUGUGACCCGGUCACUGUGGAAGCACAAAGGGGGAGGUAGUUAAUUCUGUCCACCUUGAGGUUUGGAGAGCAUGUAUUAUUGAAGGAGGUGAUGACUGCAUUCGGUUUCCUGGGGAAUGAGGGGGCAGGAAUGGCGGGGGGAGAAGCUUGAAUAAAGCUUGAUGGUGUGAAAUGACAUAUCAUAUUCAGGAAACAGCAAGUAACUGAGUAUGAAUGUAGAAUGGCUUGGGGAAUGUCUAGAGGAGGCUGGUUGUUUAGAUUUUAGCCAGGAGAUGCUAAUAAAGGGCUGGCUAAGAGAGGCAUGAUAACACCGGCUAAGGAUAAGGAUUGUCCUGAAGAAAAAUGUAAAGCCAUCGAAGGGCAGGGCAAGAUCACAUACUCUUAUGUUUCAGAGAAAGCUCUUUGGUGAAGGUAGAGGGAUGUAGGUGGGGGGGUGAGGCUCUAGGGAGAAAAAAGUAUAUAAAAAGCAUUGCAAUAAUGUGGCUGGAGUGAACACACUCGGGUCAUAGGGAAGGGCGAGGAGAGUCUGAGGAAGAGAGGAGAGUCUGGGAUGAGCCUAAGGUUCUUACUUGGGGGGCUGAGUGGGAGGGGGUGUCAUUCAUUAAACAGAGAAGGAGAAAGCUUGGAGUAAGGUAAAUGAGUUGCUGUCAGACCUGCUAGAAGUUUCAGGAGUCCCACGCAUCAGAGUAAUCAUAAGAGUAGUAUGUAAGCUUUCCAUAUAUAUUUUGGGUAUGUUUAAUAUUUAUGAUGUAUUUAUUAACAGAUUUAUUGAGAUAUAAUCAACACACGAUUAACUGGACAUAGUUCAAGUGUGUAAUUUGGUAGUCUUGACAUGCGUAUACCCUUGUGAAGCCAUCGCCACAAUUAAGAUAAUGGACAUAUCCAUCACCCCCAAAAGUUUCUUGGUGCCCCUUUGUGAUCUGUCUCUGUCCCCAGGGAAUCACUGAUCUGCCUUUUGUCACUGUAGAUUUUUUUGCAUUUCCUAGAAUUUAAUGUAAAUGGCCUAUAUGUUACACUCUUUUAUGUCUGACUUUUUCCACCCAGCAUAAUUAUUUUGAGAUUCACUCGUGUUACUGAGUGUAUUGGUCAUUUAUUCCUUUUUUAUUGCCAUGUAGUAUUCUAUGAUAAUGAUGUAGUACAAUUUGUUUGUUUGCCUACUGAUGGGUUUUUUUUCCCCCAGCUUUCAAGCUAUCACAAGUAAAGCUGCUAUGAAUAUUUGUAUGCAAGUCUUUGGACAGGUAUUUUCAUUUCUCUUGGGUAAAUACCUAGGAGUGGCAUAGUUGGAUCAUAAGUUAGGUGUAUGUUUUGUAAGAGAUGGCCAAACUGUUUUCCAAAGUGACUAUCCCAUUUUGUGUUCUCACCAGUAGUGUGUGAGAGUUCACUACUCAGGAUCCUUGCUAUCGCUUAGUAUGGUCAAUGUUUACACAUGCCAGCCAGUGUAGUUGUGGUAUCACAUUGUGUUUUCAAUUUGCAUUUCCCCAGUCAUUAAUGAUGUUGAGUAUCUCUUGAUUUGCCUAUUUAUCAUCAAUAUAUCCUUGGUGAAGUGUCUGUUUGGAUAUUUUGCCCAUUAAAAAAAGAGGUUGGUCAUUUUCUCACUGGGUUUUGCGUAUGUUUGUUUUCAAGUAUAUUCUGCAUGCAAAUCUUUUAUCAGAUAUAUAAUUUGCAAAUAUUUUUCUCUUGGUCUGUGACAUCUUUUCAUUAUCUUAACAGUGUCUUUUGAAGAGAAGACAUUUUACAUUUUGAUGGUGUCUAACUUAUCAAUUUUUUUCUUCAAUGAAUCAUGCCUUUUGUGCCACAUUUAAGAAAUCUUUAUUUAACACAAGGUCACAAAGAACUUUUACUAUGUUUUCAUUUACAAUUUUUUCUACUUUUAGGUUUCACAUCUAGGUCAAUGCCUUUUCACCUGUUGAGAUGACCAUGUGAUUUUUAUUUUUUAGACGAUUGAUACCAGUUACAUUGGUUUUCAAAGUUAUGCCAACUUUGCAUUUCCGGGAUGUACUCUAUUUGGUAAUAAUGCGUUGUCCCUAUCAUGUAUUGUUAGGUUCAACUUGCUAAAAUUUUAUUAAUAAGUUUUGUAUCUAUGUUUAUGAGGGACAUUUGUAUCCUUUCCUUUAAUAUCUUUGUCUCAUUUUUGGAAUUAGUAUAAUGCUGAUCUCAUUCAGUAAGUUGGAAAGUAUUCUCCCCUCUUUCAUUUUCUGGAAGGGCUUGCAUAGAAUUGAUCCUUUGAAGCCAUUUUUUGAAGCCAAUGAUCCAGUGAAGCCAUUUUUGCCUGGAGUUUUGUGUAUGGGAAGAUUUUAAACUAAGUAUUUUAGUUUUUAAUAGCUGCAUAGCUAUUGAUGUUCUUAAUUUCUCCUUGAGUGAGCUUUGAUAAUUUGUGUUUUUCAAUUUUAUUAUUCAUUUCAUCAAAUCUACCAAAUUUUAGCCACAAAAUUGUUCAUGUUAUUUCUUUAGUAUCCUUUAAAAAAUUUUUUUUAAAUUUAAUGUUUAUUUAUUUUGAAAGAGAGACAGACAGACAGAGUGUGAGCAGGGGAGGGGCAGAGAGAGAAGGAGACACAGAAUCUGAAGCAGGCUCCAGGCUCUGAGCUGUCAGCACAGGGCCUGAGGCGAGGCUCAAACUCAAGAGCCGUGAGAUCAUGACGUGAGCAGAAGUCAGACGCUUAAUCGACUGAGCCACCCAGGCAACCCACUUUAAUAUCCUGUUAAUGUUUGUAAUAGUAUGGGAUGAUGUCAUUUCUCUCAUUGUGGAUAUUGGUAUUUUUUGUCUUCACCCUUUUUUCCCCUGAAAUUUUAUUGAAAUUCAUCAAUUUUAUUGACUUCUCAAAGAAUCAGUUUUUAGUUUGAUUUCCUCUAUUGAUUUUCAGUUUUGAUUUCACUGAUUUUCAUUCUGAGUUUUAUUAUUCCUUUCUUCUGUUACAUUUGAAUUUACUCUUUUUUUUCUGGUUUCUUAAGUUGAAAGAUUGGGUCACUAAUUUGAGAUCUUUCAGUGUUUUCUUAAGGUGAAAGCUGAAGUUAUUAGUUUGAGGUUUUUUUGUCUUUUCAGUAUAGGUAUUCAGUGUUUUGAAUUUCCCUUUUGGUACAAAGUACUUUAGCUACAUCCCACAAUCUUUGAUAUGUUGUGCUAUUUUCAUUUACCUUGAAGUACUUUCUAGUUUCCUUUUUGAUUUCUUCUUAGAUCCAUUUGGUACUUGGAAGGGAAUCCUUUAGUUUCUGUAUAUUUGGGGAUUUUUCCAGAUGCCUUUUUGAUUUUGAUUCCUAAUUUGAUUUCAUUUUCGUCAAAGAGCAUCCUUUAUGUGACUCAAAGCCUUUGAUAUUUGUUGAGCCAUGUUUUAUGGCCCAGAAUUUGGUUACUUUUGAUAAACGUUCUAUGUGUAUUUGAAAAGAAUUGAUAUCUUGCUGUUGGGUGGGGUGUUCUAUAAAUAUCACUUAGAUCUAAUUGUUACUAUUUUCCAAUUUUUCUAUAUCUUUACUGAUUUUUUUUUUUUACUUAUUUUAUCAUUUAUGGACAUCUCUGGCAUUAAUUGUGAAUUUGUCUAUUUCUCUAUCAGUAUUCAUGGUAUAGUAGCUCAUGUAUUUUGAAGUUCUGCUAUCAGGUGCGUAAGUAUUUAUGACUACAAUAUCGUCUUGAUGAAUUGACCCCUUUAUUUUAUAAAAGUACCCGAUGGUCCUUCAUAAUAUUCUUUGUUCUGAAAUCCACUUUUUCUGAUAAAAAUAGAACCACUUCAGCUUUCCUUUGAUUAGUGUUAGCAUGAUAUAUCUUUCUCUGCCCUUUCACUGUUAACUUGUUUGUGCCUUUUAUUUAAAGUGGAUUUCUUUUAGGCAGCAUAUAUUUAGGGUCUGUGUGUUUUUAUCCAUGCCACCAAUCUUUUUAUUGGUAGGUUUAGAUCAUUUACC